This 134-nucleotide ribosomal RNA is filed under the name Streptomyces sp. enrichment culture. RNAcentral's name for it is "partial 16S ribosomal RNA". It matches the Rfam family "Bacterial small subunit ribosomal RNA", at positions 337 to 472 of the family's 1533-position model. Lineage: Bacteria; Bacillati; Actinomycetota; Actinomycetes; Kitasatosporales; Streptomycetaceae. The record is from RNAcentral.
GCCUACGGGAGGCAGCAGUGGGGAAUAUUGCACAAUGGGCGAAAGCCUGAUGCAGCGACGCCGCGUGAGGGAUGACGGCCUUCGGGUUGUAAACCUCUUUCAGCAGGGAAGAAGCGAAAGUGACGUACCUCAGA